Molecule: ribosomal RNA, 301 nt
Filed under: uncultured bacterium
Lineage: Bacteria
Description: partial 16S ribosomal RNA
Rfam family: Bacterial small subunit ribosomal RNA
Source: RNAcentral
CAGCAGCCGCGGGAAUACGUAGGGUGCGAGCGUUAAUCGGAAUUACUGGGCGUAAAGCGUGCGCAGGCGGUUCGUUAAGACAGAUGUGAAAUCCCCGGGCUCAACCUGGGAACUGCAUUUGUGACUGUAUAGCUAGAGUACGGCAGAGGGGGAUGGAAUUCCGCGUGUAGCAGUGAAAUGCGUAGAUAUGCGGAGGAACACCGAUGGCGAAGGCAAUCCCCUGGGCCUGUACUGACGCUCAUGCACGAAAGCGUGGGGAGCAAACAGGAUUAGAUACCCCGGUAGUCCCUGUCUCUUAUAC